GUAGGUGGCAAGCGUUGUCCGGGAAUUAUUGGGGCGUAAAGCGCGCGCAGGCGGUUCUUUAAGUCUGAUGUGAAAGCCCACGGGCUCAACCGUGGAGGGUCAUUGGAAACUGGAGAACUUGAGUACAGAAGAGGAAAGCGGAAUUCCACGUGUAGCGGUGAAAUGCGUAGAGAUGUGGAGGAACACCAGUGGCGAAGGCGGCUUUCUGGUCUGUAACUGACGCUGAGGCGCGAAAGCGUGGGGAGCAAACAGGAUUAGAUACCCUGGUAGUCCACGCCGUAAACGAUGAGUGCUAAGUGUUAGGGGGUUUCCGCCCCUUAGUGCUGCAGCUAACGCAUUAAGCACUCCGCCUGGGGAGUACGGCUGCAAAGGCUG
RNAcentral lists this ribosomal RNA (375 nucleotides) under uncultured organism. RNAcentral's name for it is "partial 16S ribosomal RNA". It matches the Rfam family "Bacterial small subunit ribosomal RNA", at positions 527 to 896 of the family's 1533-position model. The record is from RNAcentral.